GAGCUGCAUGGAUUUGGAGUCUUAUCCUCACUAGAAGAGAGGAAUGCACCCAAUGGAAAAGAGGAGAGCAACCAAAGUCUAAGCUAAGAGCAUAGUUUCAUAAAGUAUUUCCUCUGGCAUUCAUAGUUUUUGUGGACACACCUGAUACCUGAAAAAAACAAUCUGAAUAUCCAAAACAUCAUUCACUGUUAAAUCCAGGAAACAUCCUUGGAUUUGGAAAUUAUGGAAGGAGAAAUUAUUAUUGGAACUGUACUGAACCUUUAGCUCAAU
RNAcentral lists this long non-coding RNA (270 nucleotides) under Homo sapiens (human). RNAcentral's name for it is "long intergenic non-protein coding RNA 2220". The record is from RNAcentral. Lineage: Eukaryota; Metazoa; Chordata; Mammalia; Primates; Hominidae.